AUCUGAGUGCUUGCACUUGGAUGGACUGAGUGGCGGACGGGUGAGUAACGCGUGGGUAACCUGCCUUAUACAGGGGGAUAACAGUUGGAAACGACUGCUAAUACCGCAUAAGCGCACGGUAUCGCAUGGUACGGUGUGAAAAACUCCGGUGGUACAAGAUGGACCCGCGUCUGAUUAGCUGGUUGGUGAGGUAACGGCCCACCAAGGCGACGAUCGGUAGCCGACCUGAGAGGGUGAUCGGCCACAUUGGGACUGAGAUACGGCCCAAACUCC
This 273-nucleotide ribosomal RNA is filed under the name uncultured Lachnospiraceae bacterium. RNAcentral describes it as "partial 16S ribosomal RNA". It matches the Rfam family "Bacterial small subunit ribosomal RNA", at positions 70 to 339 of the family's 1533-position model. The record is from RNAcentral. Lineage: Bacteria; Bacillati; Bacillota; Clostridia; Lachnospirales; Lachnospiraceae.